Molecule: long non-coding RNA, 182 nt
Organism: Microtus ochrogaster (prairie vole)
Lineage: Eukaryota; Metazoa; Chordata; Mammalia; Rodentia; Cricetidae
Gene: Celf2
Exons: 3
Source: RefSeq, a predicted model, not a curated record
AAACAGCAGACAGAAUGGUCCCAGCAUGCUGGCUGCCUUUUUGUGUUUGAACAGUGGCCGUCAGUCCCAGCCUUGCAGGAUAAUUAAAAGAGAAACCUGUAAAAGCAACAUUCCCGUGAGCGAGUUGGUGCUGCAACGUGCUGGUCUACGCUGCUGCAGAAAGGAGUGAGCCAGGCACUGAG